Molecule: ribosomal RNA, 1433 nt
Filed under: uncultured organism
Description: 16S ribosomal RNA
Rfam family: Bacterial small subunit ribosomal RNA
Source: RNAcentral
GGACGAACGCUGGCGGCGUGCUUAACACAUGCAAGUCGAACGGAAAGGCCCUGCUUUUGUGGGGUGCUCGAGUGGCGAACGGGUGAGUAACACGUGAGUAACCUGCCCUUGACUUUGGGAUAACUUCAGGAAACUGGGGCUAAUACCGGAUAGGAGCUCCUGCUGCAUGGUGGGGGUUGGAAAGUUUCGGCGGUUGGGGAUGGACUCGCGGCUUAUCAGCUUGUUGGUGGGGUAGUGGCUUACCAAGGCUUUGACGGGUAGCCGGCCUGAGAGGGUGACCGGCCACAUUGGGACUGAGAUACGGCCCAGACUCCUACGGGAGGCAGCAGUGGGGAAUAUUGCACAAUGGGCGGAAGCCUGAUGCAGCAACGCCGCGUGCGGGAUGACGGCCUUCGGGUUGUAAACCGCUUUCGCCUGUGACGAAGCGUGAGUGACGGUAAUGGGUAAAGAAGCACCGGCUAACUACGUGCCAGCAGCCGCGGUGAUACGUAGGGUGCGAGCGUUGUCCGGAUUUAUUGGGCGUAAAGGGCUCGUAGGUGGUUGAUCGCGUCGGAAGUGUAAUCUUGGGGCUUAACCCUGAGCGUGCUUUCGAUACGGGUUGACUUGAGGAAGGUAGGGGAGAAUGGAAUUCCUGGUGGAGCGGUGGAAUGCGCAGAUAUCAGGAGGAACACCAGUGGCGAAGGCGGUUCUCUGGGCCUUUCCUGACGCUGAGGGAGCGAAAGCGUGGGGGAGGGAAACAGGCUUAGAUACCCUGGUAGUCCACGCUGUAAACGGUGGGUACUAGGUGUGGGGUCCAUUCCACGGGUUCCGUGCCGUAGCUAACGCUUUAAGUACCCCGCCUGGGGAGUACGGCCGCAAGGCUAAAACUCAAAGGAAUUGACGGGGCCCCGCACAAGCGGCGGAGCAUGCGGAUUAAUUCGAUGCAACGCGUAGAACCUUACCUGGGUUUGACAUGGGUCGGGAGUGCUCAGAGAUGGGUGUGCCUCUUUUGGGGUCGGUUCACAGGUGGUGCAUGGCUGUCGUCAGAUCGUGUCGUGAGAUGUUGGGUUAAGUCCCGCAACGAGCGCAACCCUUGUUCACUGUUGCCAGCACGUUAUGGUGGGGACUCAGUGGAGACCGCCGGGGUCAACUCGGAGGAAGGUGGGGAUGACGUCAAGUCAUCAUGCCCCUUAUGUCCAGGGCUUCACGCAUGCUACAAUGGCUGGUACAGAGAGUGGCGAGCCUAUGAGGGUGAGCGAAUCUCGGAAAGCCGGUCUCAGUUCGGAUUGGGGUCUGCAACUCGACCUCAUGAAGUCGGAGUCGCUAGUAAUCGCAGAUCAGCAACGCUGCGGUGAAUACGUUCCCGGGGCUUGUACACACCGCCCGUCAAGUCAUGAAAGUUGGUAACACCCGAAGCCGGUGGCCUAACCGUUGUGGGGGAGCCGUCGAAGGUG